This 72-nucleotide transfer RNA is filed under the name Elusimicrobia bacterium CG1_02_63_36. Its description in RNAcentral is "tRNA-Glu". It matches the Rfam family "tRNA". From Rfam's summary of the family: Transfer RNA (tRNA) molecules are approximately 80 nucleotides in length. Their secondary structure includes four short double-helical elements and three loops (D, anti-codon, and T loops). Lineage: Bacteria; Pseudomonadati; Elusimicrobiota. RNAcentral also lists the same sequence under 2 other names. The record is from RNAcentral.
CGCCCGGUCGUCUAACGGUUAGGACGUCCGUCUUUCACGCGGAAAACCGGGGUUCGACUCCCCGUCGGGCGA